GACGAACGCUGGCGGCGUGCCUAAUACAUGCAAGUCGAGCGAAGUGUUUCUGGUGCUUGCACCGGAAAAACUUAGCGGCGAACGGGUGAGUAACACGUAAAGAACCUGCCUUAUAGACUGGGACAACUAUUGGAAACGAUAGCUAAUACCGGAUAACAGCAUUAACUGCAUGGUUGAUGUUUGAAAGUUGGUUUUGCUAACACUAUGAGAUGGCUUUGCGGUGCAUUAGCUAGUUGGUGGGGUAAAGGCCUACCAAGGCGACGAUGCAUAGCCGACCUGAGAGGGUGAUCGGCCACACUGGAACUGAGACACGGCCCAGACUCCUACGGGAGGCAGCAGUAGGGAAUCUUCCGCAAUGGGCGAAAGCCUGACGGAGCAACGCCGCGUGAGUGAAGAAGGAUUUCGGUUCGUAAAGCUCUGUUGUUAGGGAAGAAUGAUUGUGUAGUAACUAUACACAGUAGAGACGGUACCUAACCAGAAAGCCACGGCUAACUACGUG
RNAcentral lists this ribosomal RNA (499 nucleotides) under uncultured bacterium. Its description in RNAcentral is "partial 16S ribosomal RNA". It matches the Rfam family "Bacterial small subunit ribosomal RNA", at positions 28 to 507 of the family's 1533-position model. The record is from RNAcentral.